This 468-nucleotide ribosomal RNA is filed under the name uncultured bacterium. RNAcentral describes it as "partial 16S ribosomal RNA". It matches the Rfam family "Bacterial small subunit ribosomal RNA", at positions 28 to 507 of the family's 1533-position model. The record is from RNAcentral.
GACGAACGCUGGCGGCGUGCUUAACACAUGCAAGUCGAACGGAAAGGCCCUGCUUUCGUGGUGUUCCCGAUUGGCGAACGGGUGCGUAACACGUGAGUAACCUGCUCUUGACUUUCGGAUAACUUCAGGAAACUGGGCCUACUAUCGGACAGCAGCUCCUGCUGCAGGGUGAGCGUGGGAACGUUUCGGCGGUUGGGGAUGGACGCGCGGCUUAUCGGCUUGCUGGUGGGGGAGUGGCUUACCAAGGCUGUGACGGGUCGCCCGCCUGAGAGGGUGGACGGCGACCAUGGGACUGAGAGAGGGAGCAGUCGCGUACGGGAGGCAGCAGUCGGGAGUAUGGCACAGUGGGAGGAAGCCUGAUGAAGAAACGUCGCGGGCGGGAUGACGGCCUUUGGGUUGUAAAAAGCUUUAGCCUGUGACGACGCGUGAGUGACGGUAAUGAGUAAAGAAGCACCGGCUAACUACGUG